CAGGUCGUCGAUGACGGGCUGCCAGACCGACUUCAGGUUGGUCGACGAUUCCGUCGAGAUGAUGCCGAAGUUCAGCGUCUUGGCGUCUUGC
Molecule: transfer RNA, 91 nt
Filed under: Achromobacter ruhlandii
Lineage: Bacteria; Pseudomonadati; Pseudomonadota; Betaproteobacteria; Burkholderiales; Alcaligenaceae
Also listed under: 6 other names
Description: tRNA-Sec
Source: RNAcentral